CAGAAGGUAGUUUAUUUAAAAUGCCAGUUUUGGGGGCUGGUGAAGUGAGUCAAGUCUUAUCCUUUUGA
This 68-nucleotide transfer RNA is filed under the name Sceloporus woodi. RNAcentral describes it as "tRNA-Pro". It matches the Rfam family "tRNA". From Rfam's summary of the family: Transfer RNA (tRNA) molecules are approximately 80 nucleotides in length. Their secondary structure includes four short double-helical elements and three loops (D, anti-codon, and T loops). Lineage: Eukaryota; Metazoa; Chordata; Lepidosauria; Squamata; Phrynosomatidae. The record is from RNAcentral.